UGAUACUUGCCUUAAAAUUGGAUUCUGCGUAUUAUCCUUAUAGUUUGGGAUUAAUUUCAAAUUUCUUCCUGAAUUUGUGAGAUACUUCCCUCAAUUAAUAUUGGUCUCCUAAGUUUUCAAUCACGUUCCUACUUUUUUGGGGAUUAUUGUCCAAAAUUGGAGCAGUAUCCCACCCUAUAUUUGUGCAUGAGUAUGUUGAUUGAUUUGUCUGACCUAUUUCCCUAAUUAGAACAUCAUGAACCUAGUUUUUAUUGCAUACUCUAUGCUAUUCCGUUCCUUAUGUGAUCAUAUCUUGUGAUUUCUUUCCUUUUAAACAGUUGUUUGUUACCGUUUGACUUUCAUUCCUUAAUUAAAUGGCAGUCCAUAUACUAAUUUGAUUAUGAUUGAUGUCAGUUCUUUAAUUAAGGAUUGCUACCUUGUUUGUUUACGCAUAUUCAGUACAAUAAGUACACUCCCCCAUUCUCUUUUACAAACACCAACACAUUGCAUCACACUUGACACACACAGACACGAAUAAACUCAGUUUUCUUAACUCUCUCUCUCUUUCACACAAAUAUCUUUGGUGCUCUUUGUUGUUUCUACAUAAUUUUUUACACUUUGUUGUUUAAUGCUAAUCACUCAAUUGGCUGAUAUUGAGUGAUCCUGGUCACUUUUAUCACUCUGUUGGCCUCUACUGUGUUACUUGCUUUGGGUCUGCCUGCUGCUCACUUCUUGUAUAGUGUUGCUCUAUGCUUCUCUCUGCACACUACUGCUCACCUCUAUGCAUAAUAUUUCUCAUUGUUCCUCUCUGUAUACAUUAUUUUACAACUGGUAUGUAUCUAAUUUAAGCUACAGCCUCAAAAACAAUAUGCUUCUAUUCGUGCUGCACUUUCUUUUUUCCUUCUGUGUUUCUACUUUACUUGUGGUUCUGUUGUUCCUAUUGCAACUAGCAUGUAUCUGUACUAAUUAGUAAACAUAUCAUUUUCAUUACCCCCUUCCUUACCCCAAUGCAUGUUUCCCCUUUGCUUCUAUAUGCUAAUAGCAUCCUAUGGGCUACUCCACAACCCUAAAACACCUUCCUGAGGAUGAUUUGGUUUGGUGUCUGGUGCUGUAAGAACUGGACUCCUGUUUGAAGCAUGAACUCUCCUUUAAUGUAUGUAACUGGUUGUCUUAUUUACGAGCUGUUUGUUCCCUUUACCUUUACCUUUGUCUGUAUGCCUGUUGCUUUCAAAACUGACACCAAAGUAACUGUUUUCAAACUCAGUUAAAAUUUUCACUCUUCUCCUAUUUUUCUCAAAAUGUCCUUCAUGUAAAAUCAUUUUUUCAACUCACCUCUUUCAAAUUCUAUCACAAUCACACUACUCUUAGAAUUAGGUCCAUCCCCCUUGUGUAAGCAUUGCUUUAGGUACCUUGAGUACCCACUGAACUUUGAUGAACAAGGUUGGAAAUUACACACUUGCACUUAUCAAUGGUGAUUUGUUUAAGUGCCUGCUAUUGGCGGGGUCUGAAGAGACCCCUAGGGAACUUUGCCGCACCCAAACUCUUGGUGAAGGCUGUGAAGCUCGAAAUAAAUGAGGUUGGAGGUUGGGCCUGGCUGAAGUCUCCCUAUAGAAUUACUUUUUGUCUUAAUCUUCAUUAUUGUAAUUUGAC
RNAcentral lists this long non-coding RNA (1629 nucleotides) under Nicotiana benthamiana. RNAcentral describes it as "long non-coding RNA (NBEN_LNC005256)". The record is from RNAcentral. Lineage: Eukaryota; Viridiplantae; Streptophyta; Magnoliopsida; Solanales; Solanaceae.